AUGACCAAAACCUAAUAAAAAGAAGGGAGGCGGCGUAUAUUCUUGGAGGACACAUACACCUCACGGCUGUUUAGGGGAAUAAAAGUCAAAAAGGAAGGCGGCAGCUUCUUGAGGGGUCGCACAUAUAUUCAUAGACAUCAAUCUGGGACGAAUUCCAUAGAACAUCAGAGAUAUAUAAUAUCGGCUAGGGAGGAGUUCGAUCAAGAGAAAAAGAAUUAUAAUUCUUUUGACACGACUGCGACAUAAGGAAAAAAGAAGAAAAGCCGAUUGGUUCAAGAUUCAAGGCCGUGAUUCAAGAUUCGAUUACGGGUCGGAAAUAAAGUUUUCUUCAAAAGCAUUCUAAGCUCUACCGAGACUGUAGCAAGAGGAAGGGUCCAGAGCUUGGACCCAAAUGAUAUAGUUGGUGGUACAGAGAUUGGACCAGAAUGGAGUGAGGUAAACGUUCAAGUACCAAUAAAAAAAAUGAAAACUUGGUAAUAUCAUAUGGUUUAUUUUUUACAAUUCAAGAUUGUAUUGGUGCAUCCAUCGCAUGGCCUUAUCCAUUCAUCUCGGUAGUCCAUGAGGAUUGAGGAUGCAUGAUGACUCAAGAUUUUAUGCUUCUUAUUUUUUUAAUUGCUCUUAAUUU
This 625-nucleotide long non-coding RNA is filed under the name Helianthus annuus (common sunflower). Lineage: Eukaryota; Viridiplantae; Streptophyta; Magnoliopsida; Asterales; Asteraceae. The record is from RNAcentral.